Molecule: ribosomal RNA, 270 nt
Filed under: uncultured archaeon
Lineage: Archaea
Description: partial 16S ribosomal RNA
Rfam family: Archaeal small subunit ribosomal RNA
Source: RNAcentral
CAGCACCUCAAGUGGUCAGGAUGAUUAUUGGGCCUAAAGCAUCCGUAGCCGGCGCUGUAAGUUUUCGGUUAAAUCUAUACGCUCAACGUACAGGCUGCCGGGAAUACUGCAGCGCUAGGGAGUGGGAGAGGUAGACGGUACUCGGUAGGAAGGGGUAAAAUCCUUUGAUCUAUUGAUGACCACCUGUGGCGAAGGCGGUCUACCAGAACACGUCCGACGGUGAGGGAUGAAAGCUGGGGGAGCAAACCGGAUUAGAUACCCGAGUAGUCC